Molecule: ribosomal RNA, 301 nt
Filed under: uncultured bacterium
Lineage: Bacteria
Description: partial 16S ribosomal RNA
Rfam family: Bacterial small subunit ribosomal RNA
Source: RNAcentral
CAGCAGCCGCGGUAAUGCGAGGGGUGCAAGCGUUAUUCGGAUUGAUUGGGUGUAAAGGGUGUGCAGACGGCUUAUUAAGUCACUUGUUAAAUUCUUCGGCCUAACUGAAGGUCUGCAAGUGAUACUGAAGAGCUAGAGGGUGGAAGAGAGAAGUGGAAUUCUCGGAGUAGCGGUAAAAUGCGUAGAUCUCGAGAGGAACACCAAUGGCGAAGGCAGCUUCUUGGUCCAUUCCUGACGUUCAUACACGAAAGCGUGGGGAGCAAACAGGAUUAGAUACCCCGGUAGUCCCUGUCUCUUAUAA